GGGUUGUUAGCUCAGUCAGUAGAGCAUAGUGCUAACAACACCAAGGUCGUGGGUUUGAUUCCCAUUCGGUCCC
Molecule: transfer RNA, 73 nt
Filed under: Apaloderma vittatum (bar-tailed trogon)
Lineage: Eukaryota; Metazoa; Chordata; Aves; Trogoniformes; Trogonidae
Rfam family: tRNA
About the family: Transfer RNA (tRNA) molecules are approximately 80 nucleotides in length. Their secondary structure includes four short double-helical elements and three loops (D, anti-codon, and T loops). Further hydrogen bonds mediate the characteristic L-shaped molecular structure. tRNAs have two regions of fundamental functional importance: the anti-codon, which is responsible for specific mRNA codon recognition, and the 3' end, to which the tRNAs corresponding amino acid is attached (by aminoacyl-tRNA synthetases). tRNAs cope with the degeneracy of the genetic code in two manners: having more than one tRNA (with a specific anti-codon) for a particular amino acid; and 'wobble' base-pairing, i.e. permitting non-standard base-pairing at the 3rd anti-codon position.
Source: Rfam by way of RNAcentral